Molecule: ribosomal RNA, 387 nt
Filed under: Syndiniales sp.
Lineage: Eukaryota; Dinophyceae; Syndiniales
Description: partial small subunit ribosomal RNA
Rfam family: Eukaryotic small subunit ribosomal RNA
Source: RNAcentral
AUUCCAGCUCCAAUAGCGUAUAUUAAAGUUGUUGCGGUUAAAAAGCUCGUAGUUGGAUUUCUGUUGAGGAAGUCCGGUCCGCACUUUGUGCGUGAUCUGGUUCUGCCUCGGCAUCCUCGCGGGGAACGCGCUGCGCUUGAUUGCGUGGUGCGGUAUUCGCGACUUUUACUUUGAGGAAAUUAGAGUGUUCACGGCAGGCUAUCGCCUUGAAUACGUUAGCAUGGAAUAAUAAUAUAGGACCUUGGUUCUAUUUUGUUGGUUUCUAGAACUAAGGUAAUGAUUAAUAGGGAUAAUUGGGGGCAUUUGUAUUAACACGUCAGAGGUGAAAUUCUUGGAUUGUGUUACAACAAACUACUGCGAAAGCAUUUGCCAAGGAUGUUUUCAUUG